GACGUAUGGGAUCGGCCCGCGGUGCAUUAGCUAGUUGGUAAGGUAAGGCUUACCAAGGCGAUGAUGCAUAGCCCGAGUUGAGAGACUGAUCGGGCCACAUUGGGGACUGAGACACGGGGCCCAAACUCCUACGGGGGGAGGGGCAGCAGUAGGGGGAAUCUUCCACAAUGGACGCAAGUCUGAUGGAGCAACGCCGCGUGAGUGAAGAAGGUUUUCGGAUCGUAAAGCUCUGUUGUUGGUGAAGAAGGAUAGAGGUAGUAACUGGCCUUUAUUUGACGGUAAUCAACCAGAAAGUCACGGCUAACUACGUGCCAGCAGCCGCGGUAAU
RNAcentral lists this ribosomal RNA (328 nucleotides) under uncultured Lactobacillus sp. Its description in RNAcentral is "bacterial SSU rRNA". It matches the Rfam family "Bacterial small subunit ribosomal RNA", at positions 214 to 524 of the family's 1533-position model. Lineage: Bacteria; Bacillati; Bacillota; Bacilli; Lactobacillales; Lactobacillaceae. The record is from RNAcentral.